This 330-nucleotide ribosomal RNA is filed under the name Triticum aestivum (bread wheat). RNAcentral's name for it is "partial small subunit ribosomal RNA". The record is from RNAcentral. Lineage: Eukaryota; Viridiplantae; Streptophyta; Magnoliopsida; Poales; Poaceae.
AUGCGCAUGUUGAGAUGGAUGUGUGGCCACACGAGGAAGGAUCAAGUCCGGAAUGAUGAUAUACGAGAUAGAGUUGGGGUAGCACCAAUUGAAGAGAAGCUUGUCCAACAUCGUCUGAGAUGGUUUGGGCAUAUUCAGCGCAAGCCUCCAGAAGCUCCAGUGCAUAGCGGACGGCUAAAGCGCGCGGAGAAUGUCAAGAGAGGGCAGGGUAGACCGAAUUUGACAUGGGAGGAGUCCGUUAAGAGAGACCUGAAGGAUUGGAGUAUCACCAAAGAACUAGCUAUGGACAGGGGUGCGUGGAAGCUUGCUAUCCAUGUGCCAGAGCCAUGA